This is a long non-coding RNA of Anolis carolinensis (green anole), 1418 nucleotides long. RefSeq lists it as uncharacterized. The transcript has 2 exons. Lineage: Eukaryota; Metazoa; Chordata; Lepidosauria; Squamata; Anolidae. The record is from RefSeq and is a predicted model, not a curated record.
UGUUGACAAUUAAACUUUACAGACAUGCAAACUAACAGAAAAUGAUGUAUUUUUAAUUUUUUUUCUGAAACAGAGAGUCUGGUAUCCAGAGUUACUACUAUCACUUCUUGUGGAGUGACCCCCCUCCCAUUUAUAUGCUUUUUCUGAGUUCAUGAUUAUUCAGCACUUUGUUGCCCUGCUACUUAUGUGUGUACAUUAGCUCUGUCCUUUAAAACACAAGCCUGGAACUAGCUUCUUCCAACUGCUUCUGCUGCUUAGCAACACAGUGUGAAUGAGCUCCACCUCCUACUAUGGAACAUGAUGGCCUGAAAUAGCAUUUGACAAUUUCUCUCUGGAGACUAAGACACAGAGCAACAGAGACAAACUGCAGGACAAAAUAUGCCAUGUAAACAUGAGAAAGAACGUCCUCAUGGUGAGAGCUGUUCGACAAUGGAAUAUGGUGCCUCAAGAUGCGGUGGAGUCACCUUCUCUGGAGGUUCUUCAACAGAGGUUGGAUGGCUGUGUGUGCUUUGAUUGCGUAUUCCUACCUGGCAGAGAGUUGGACUAGAUGGCCCUUGUGGUCUCUUGCAACUGUUUGAUUGUAACAUCUAAUUCUCUCAUCUUCAAAAGUCUUAGUGCUAAACUAUUUAUAUUGACUGACCCAAUCCUCAGCAAAAUUACUAUUGUGUUUAAAACAUUCCCUUUCUUAGAGAAAGAUGAGCCAUCUAACAGAAUGCUUGUGUAAUGAAAAGCUAUCAUCAUAAAUUAUUCUGAACUACAUUUACAGACUACCACAAUCAUUCAUCAUGGUAAAUUAAGAGAGGAAGCUACUGAAUACACCCUGAUUAGAAGGAAACCAAAUAAAAGAAACUGCACACUAAGAGUUGUAUCAGCCAGUAUUAUUUUUUCCAGCUUUGAUUCACAUGUGAAUGUAAAUGAAUGCUGAAUGGUUACUAUUUUGCAUGAAAUUCCAGAGUUUUACAUUCAAGUCUUGAAAAACUAAACAAUUGGGAGCUAUUAGUGAUUGCUGCCCUCUAGCUCAAAACAGCAGAUGCUUUCACCCAUUUAUAACAAAAUGUAUUGCCACACACUGCCAAGUAGUUCUUGUAUUGUUAAGUCACUAAAAUGAGCGACUGGUUCAUUUCUGGGUGGCCUGGGAAUAACCCUACCAUAGUGAGUCGUUUCUCUGGGUCAUCCAGAAUGUAGUUAUUUGCUUCACACUAGGAAUUAACACACACACUUAUGGCAGCAAGUCUCAAAGGAAAUGGCUGCCCUUGCUUCUUGAUCUUAAAGACUGUAAGUCUCUGCAAAUUUUCCCUGACAAGAAUAUGUAAUGAUUACACAACUGGUCUAAAAAGUAUAGAUUUCCUCCAACAAAAGCUAUAGCUCAACUAUGCAUUAGAUAAUGAAGUUAUUUAUAAUAAAUACCUUGAUUUCAA